RNAcentral lists this ribosomal RNA (542 nucleotides) under uncultured Wolbachia sp. Its description in RNAcentral is "bacterial SSU rRNA". It matches the Rfam family "Bacterial small subunit ribosomal RNA", at positions 339 to 900 of the family's 1533-position model. Lineage: Bacteria; Pseudomonadati; Pseudomonadota; Alphaproteobacteria; Rickettsiales; Anaplasmataceae. The record is from RNAcentral.
CUACGGGAGGCAGCAGUGGGGAAUAUGGGACAAUGGGCGAAGGCCUGAUCCAGCCAUGCCGCAUGAGUGAAGAAGGCCUUUGGGUUGUAAAGCUCUUUUAGUGAGGAAGAUAAUGACGGUACUCACAGAAGAGGUCCUGGCUAACUCCGUGCCAGCAGCCGCGGUAAUACGGAGAGGGCUAGCGUUAUUCGGAAUUAUUGGGCGUAAAGGGCGCGUAGGCGGAUUAGUAAGUUAAAAGUGAGAUCCCAAGGCUCAACCUUGGAAUUGCUUUUAAAACUGCUAAUCUAGAGAUUGAAAGAGGAUAGAGGAAUUCCUAGUGUAGAGGUGAAAUUCGUAAAUAUUAGGAGGAACACCAGUGGCGAAGGCGUCUAUCUGGUUCAAAUCUGACGCUGAGGCGCGAAGGCGUGGGGAGCAAACAGGAUUAGAUACCCUGGUAGCCCACGCUGUAAACGAUGAAUGUUAAAUAUGGGAAGUUUUACUUUCUGUAUUACAGCUAACGCGUUAAACAUUCCGCCUGGGGACUACGGUCGCAAGAUUAAAAC